GGACAGUAUGUAGUUUAAAUAGACCCUCGAAACAGCGGAGGGAAACAGUUUAACACUGGCCCUCGGUAAAAUGAGACCCAUUCUGUUGAUUGUCUUCUUUUUUACUUUCAAGGCCUGCUUUACGAGUGCUGAAGGAGCUGAAGGUAAAAUGGGGAAGCAGCAGGCACCAUUUCAAUACCUUAUUCCUGUACCAUGGCGUCAACCUCGACCAAUUCCUCGACCUACACGUCGUCCACCUCAACCACUUCGACCGAUUGCGCUGGGUCCAUAUCUUAUCACUGAAUUCUUGGCUGACAGUAAAAUUCUGACCAACAAUUUAAAAGAGAGCACCCAAAGCGCUAAACAGGGAUCUGAAUAUGUUCCGGAUUUGAGCGCAGUUAAAACUCCGAAAAGGGUAGUUGUUUGAAACCUCUAUAAGAAAAGGACACCUCCAAGGCAGUCGGAAGAGUAAUUUGAGCAAACGUCAUUGUUCAUUUCAUGUUGGAAAUAAAUCCUAGAUAUCAG
Molecule: long non-coding RNA, 504 nt
Organism: Cloeon dipterum
Lineage: Eukaryota; Metazoa; Arthropoda; Insecta; Ephemeroptera; Baetidae
Exons: 3
Source: RefSeq, a predicted model, not a curated record